Molecule: ribosomal RNA, 403 nt
Filed under: uncultured bacterium
Lineage: Bacteria
Description: bacterial SSU rRNA
Rfam family: Bacterial small subunit ribosomal RNA
Source: RNAcentral
GGGAAUAUUGCACAAUGGGGGAAACCCUGAUGCAGCGACGCCGCGUGAGUGAAGAAGUAUUUCGGUAUGUAAAGCUCUAUCAGCAGGGAAGAAAAUGACGGUACCUGACCAAGAAGCCCCGGCUAACUACGUGCCAGCAGCCGCGGUAAUACGUAGGGGGCAAGCGUUAUCCGGAUUUACUGGGUGUAAAGGGAGCGUAGACGGUUGUGCAAGUCAGAAGUGAAAACCCGGGGCUUAACCCCGCGGAUUGCUUUUGGAACUGUCAGGCUGGAGUGCAGGAGGGGCAGGCGGAAUUCCUGGUGUAGCGGUGAAAUGCGUAGAUAUCAGGAGGAACACCGGUGGCGAAGGCGGCCUGCUGGACUGUAACUGACACUGAGGCUCGAAAGCGUGGGGAGCAAACAGG